UACGUAGGGGGCGAGCGUUGUCCGGAUUUAUUGGGCGUAAAAGGCUUGUAGGUGGCCACGCGAAGUCGGAUGUGAAAUCUCCCGGCUCAACUGGGGAGGGGUCAUUCGAUACUGGCGGGCUCGAGGCCGGUAGGGGGAAGCGGAAUUCCCGGUGUAGUGGUGGAAUGCGUAGAUAUCGGGAGGAACACCAGUGGCGAAGGCGGCUUCCUGGACCGGUUCGUGACACU
RNAcentral lists this ribosomal RNA (227 nucleotides) under uncultured bacterium. Its description in RNAcentral is "partial 16S ribosomal RNA". It matches the Rfam family "Bacterial small subunit ribosomal RNA", at positions 524 to 747 of the family's 1533-position model. The record is from RNAcentral.